GCCACUAUUUUAUUUUCUAAAAAAAAAAAGCCAAAAUUAUAAACUCUUCUUCUCCUUUCUUCUCACGGCAGCAUCUACAAUUCUAAUGGUUGAGGAAUGUUUUUCUUCUUAAUGAAAGAAGGCUACAAAUUUUGGGACCUAUUAUUUUCUAGGACUAAGAAAAUUUUAUUUUCUUAUUCUUCUUCCUACAGGCGCACAGGGUUAGGGUUGUAUUUGUAUAUGCUUUCUAUGAAGGGUCGAUGGUGGUGAUGGUGGUGCCGUUAGUGUUCGGUGGUGGGUUCACACUAAAUCUCACAGAUUUUAGCAGAUUAUAAGGCUUCAACAAUCAGUCGAAAUUAAUCUGGAAGGCUCCAAUAAUAACUGCAAAUUAAUAGCAGCAGACAGUUUUUUUUUAAAAAACUAUUGCAAAGAUGUUUCAUUUUUGAUAUAUAAAUUGUGUAAAUGAAUGGGUGCUUAUGUGAAUAGGUAUCUUCCGAAUAGUUAUGUUGUUUUGUAAAUUUUUUGAAAAUGGGUCUUUUUCAAUUGUGUAUCUGUAAUUUUUUUCAAUUGGGUCUUUUGAAGAUAUUAGCACGUUGUAUUUUUUUUGUUUAAUUUUUAUUUUUUGUAAUUUUUUCAACUGUUCUGAAUUAUGAUUAUGAAACAUUAUUUAUAUUAUUAGUUAAUGUAUUUUCUUGUAACUUUUUGAAGAGUCACAAUUUGUUUUAUU
Molecule: long non-coding RNA, 706 nt
Organism: Cannabis sativa
Lineage: Eukaryota; Viridiplantae; Streptophyta; Magnoliopsida; Rosales; Cannabaceae
Exons: 2
Source: RefSeq, a predicted model, not a curated record